UAAUGGAGGUAGAGCACUGUUUGGACUAGGGGCCCUUCUCGGGUUACCGAAUUCAGAUAAACUCCGAAUGCCAUGUACUUAUACUCGGGAGUCAGACUGCGAGUGAUAAGAUCCGUAGUCGAAAGGGAAACAGCCCAGACCACCAGUUAAGGUCCCCAAAUAUAUGUUAAGUGGAAAAGGAUGUGGGGUUGCUUAGACAACCAGGAUGUUGGCUUAGAAGCAGCCACCAUUGAAAGAGUGCGUAAUAGCUCACUGGUCGAGUGACCCCGCGCCGAAAAUGUACCGGGGCUAAACAUAUUACCGAAACUGUGGAUGAACCUCUUUAGAGGUUCGUGGUAGGAGAGCGUUCUAAGGGCGGUGAAGUCAGACCGGAAGGACUGGUGGAGCGCUUAGAAG
RNAcentral lists this ribosomal RNA (396 nucleotides) under Rhizobium leguminosarum. RNAcentral's name for it is "partial 23S ribosomal RNA". It matches the Rfam family "Bacterial large subunit ribosomal RNA", at positions 894 to 1288 of the family's 2925-position model. Lineage: Bacteria; Pseudomonadati; Pseudomonadota; Alphaproteobacteria; Hyphomicrobiales; Rhizobiaceae. The record is from RNAcentral.